GCAAACUUGGUCAUUUAGAGGAAGUAAAAGUCGUAACAAGGUAACCGUAGGUGAACCUGCGGUUGGAUCAUUAAUAAAUUGAUCAGGCCAGGCCUCGCGGUUUGGCCGGUGUUUCACUCUCGCUAACACGAGUAGGGAACCCGAACCCAUUUGUGAACUGUUUAUUGUCUCUGGCGGUGGGGGUUCUUGGGGGAAUUGCUUUAAGCCUUUCAAACAAGACCCUGUCAGCACACUGUAUGGUGAUGUCGUGGACAAGCCGCCAACCGUUUCUUCAACAACCCUUUUGCUGAUUUUCAUUGUCUGACCUAUUUAUUUUGUAUGAAUGUACAAAAAACAACUUUUGGCAACGGAUCUCUUGGCUCUCGCAUCGAUGAAGAACGCAGC
Molecule: unclassified non-coding RNA, 384 nt
Filed under: uncultured fungus
Lineage: Eukaryota; Fungi
Description: partial contains small subunit ribosomal RNA, internal transcribed spacer 1, and 5.8S ribosomal RNA
Rfam family: Eukaryotic small subunit ribosomal RNA (bases 1-73)
Source: RNAcentral